RNAcentral lists this long non-coding RNA (366 nucleotides) under Oryza brachyantha (malo sina). RNAcentral's name for it is "long non-coding RNA (OBRA_LNC001137)". The record is from RNAcentral. Lineage: Eukaryota; Viridiplantae; Streptophyta; Magnoliopsida; Poales; Poaceae.
UGCGCGUAAAAGUUGAAGAAAACUACGAGAAAAAUAACACAACCUUGAUAUAUAUGCACCCAAUGCCCGGAUAAGAUCAUAUCGAUGAUAUAUACAUAUAUUCAGCUUAUCUGUAUUUUUAUUCUCCAAGCAUUCUGCAUAUUUCUUGCUAACUCACCACACACACAUAUAUUUUGGUGAUAAACUAAUCACAGAACUAUACAGAUUAACACCAUCUUAACUCGUACUACUGGCUAAUUAGUAGUACUAAUUUAUUACUACAACCUCUUUUUAAUCACCGGUCAGUAGCUAGCGCGUGGACGUCGAUCAGUAGCGCUUCCUCCAGUACUCCUCGCUCGCCACGCGCUCGCGCCGGAGCCGCUCCUG